RNAcentral lists this ribosomal RNA (1383 nucleotides) under uncultured bacterium. Its description in RNAcentral is "16S ribosomal RNA". It matches the Rfam family "Bacterial small subunit ribosomal RNA". The record is from RNAcentral.
UUCGCCCUUAGAGUUUGAUCCUGGCUCAGGACGAACGCUGGCGGCGUGCCUAACACAUGCAAGUCGAGCGAAUGAAGUUCCUUCGGGAACGGAUUUAGCGGCGGACGGGUGAGUAACACGUGGGCAACCUGCCUCAUAGAGGGGAAUAGCCUUCCGAAAGGGAGAUUAAUACCGCAUAAGAUUGUAGUACCGCAUGGUACAGCAAUUAGAGGAGUAAUCCGCUAUGAGAUGGGCCCGCGGCGCAUUAGCUAGUUGGUGAGGUAACGGCUCACCAAGUCCACGAUCAGUAGCCGGACUGAGAGGUCGAACGGCCACAUUGGAACUGAGAUACGGUCCAGACUCCUACGGGAGGCAGCAGUGGGGAAUAUUGGGCAAUGGGGGAAACCCUGACCCAGCGACGCCGCGUGAGGGAAGAAGGUCUUCGGAUUGUAAACCUUUGUCAACAGGGACGAAAUAAAUGACGGUACCUGAAGAGGAAGCCACGGCUAACUACGUGCCAGCAGCCGCGGUAAUACGUAGGUGGCGAGCGUUAUCCGGAUUUACUGGGUGUAAAGGGUGUGUAGGCGGGAUGGCAAGUCAGAUGUGAAAUGCCGCGGCUUAACUGCGGCACUGCAUCAGAAACUGCCGUUCUUGAGGGUGGGAGAGGUAAGCGGAAUUCCUGGUGUAGCGGUGAAAUGCGUAGAUAUCAGGAGGAACACCGGUGGCGAAGGCGGCUUACUGGACCAUCACUGACGCUGAUACACGAAAGCGUGGGGAGCAAACAGGAUUAGAUACCCUGGUAGUCCACGCCGUAAACGAUAAAUACUAGGUGUGGGGGGGCAAGCCUCCGUGCCGACGUUAACGCAUUAAGUAUUCCACCUGGGGAGUACGGCCGCAAGGUUGAAACUCAAAGGAAUUGACGGGAGCCCGCACAAGCAGUGGAGUAUGUGGUUUAAUUCGAUGCAACGCGAAGAACCUUACCAGCUCUUGACAUCUUCUGUUCACUCUAGAGAUAGAGCUUCCCCUUCGGGGGCAGAAUGACAGGUGGUGCAUGGUUGUCGUCAGCUCGUGUCGUGAGAUGUUGGGUUAAGUCCCAUAACGAGCGCAACCCCCAUUGUUAGUUGCCAGCAUUCAGUUGGGCACUCUAGCGAGACUGCCGGUGAUAAACCGGAGGAAGGUGGGGAGGACGUCAAAUCAUCAUGCCCCCUAUGAGCUGGGCUACACACGUGCUACAAUGGACGGUACAACGGGUAGCGAGGGCGCGAGCCUUAGCAAAUCCUAAUAAGCCGUUCUCAGUUCGGAUUGUUCUCUGCAACUCGAGAGCAUGAAGCCGGAAUCGCUAGUAAUCGCGGAUCAGAAUGCCGCGGUGAAUAAGUUCCCGGGUCUUGUACUCACCGCCCGUCA